Molecule: transfer RNA, 86 nt
Filed under: Planctomycetota bacterium
Lineage: Bacteria; Pseudomonadati; Planctomycetota
Description: Planctomycetes bacterium (hydrothermal vent metagenome) tRNA-Leu
Rfam family: tRNA
About the family: Transfer RNA (tRNA) molecules are approximately 80 nucleotides in length. Their secondary structure includes four short double-helical elements and three loops (D, anti-codon, and T loops).
Source: RNAcentral
GGCCGAGUGGCGGAAUUGGCAGACGCAUCGGACUUAAAAUCCGGUGGGAGGUAACUCCCGUGCGGGUUCGAGUCCCGCCUCGGCUA